UGCAGUCGAGCGGCAGCGACAACAUUGACCCUUCGGGUGAUUUGUUGGGCGGCGAGCGGCGGACGGGUGAGUAAUGGCUGGGAACCUGCCCUGACGUGGGGGAUAACAGUUGGAAACGACUGCUAAUACCGCAUGAUGUCUUCGGACCAAAGAGGAGGACCUUCGGGCUUCUCGCGCCGGGAUGGGCCCAGUUGGGAUUAGCUAGUUGGUGAGGUAAUGGCUCACCAAGGCGACGAUCCCUAGCUGGUUUGAGAGGAUGAUCAGCCACACUGGAACUGAGACACGGUCCAGACUCCUACGGGAGGCAGCAGUGGGGAAUAUUGCACAAUGGGCGCAAGCCUGAUGCAGCCAUGCCGCGUGUGUGAAGAAGGCCUUCGGGUUGUAAAGCACUUUCAGCAGUGAGGAAGGCGUAGUGGUUAAUACCCGCUGCGCUUGACGUUAGCUGCAGAAGAAGCACCGGCUAACUCCGUGCCAGCAGCCGCGGUAAUACGGAGGGUGCGAGCGUUAAUCGGAAUUACUGGGCGUAAAGCGCAUGCAGGCGGUUUGUUAAGCAAGAUGUGAAAGCCCCGGGCUCAACCUGGGAACCGCAUUUUGAACUGGCAGGCUAGAGUCUUGUAGAGGGGGGUAGAAUUUCAGGUGUAGCGGUGAAAUGCGUAGAGAUCUGAA
RNAcentral lists this ribosomal RNA (666 nucleotides) under uncultured Vibrio sp. Its description in RNAcentral is "bacterial SSU rRNA". It matches the Rfam family "Bacterial small subunit ribosomal RNA", at positions 56 to 702 of the family's 1533-position model. The record is from RNAcentral. Lineage: Bacteria; Pseudomonadati; Pseudomonadota; Gammaproteobacteria; Vibrionales; Vibrionaceae.